Molecule: ribosomal RNA, 250 nt
Filed under: uncultured bacterium
Lineage: Bacteria
Description: partial 16S ribosomal RNA
Rfam family: Bacterial small subunit ribosomal RNA
Source: RNAcentral
GUGCCAGCCGCCGCGGUAAUACGAAGGGGGCUAGCGUUGUUCGGAUUUACUGGGCGUAAAGCGCACGUAGGCGGAUUGUUAAGUUAGGGGUGAAAUCCCAGGGCUCAACCCUGGAACUGCCUUUAAUACUGGCAAUCUCGAGUCCGGAAGAGGUGAGUGGAAUUCCGAGUGUAGAGGUGAAAUUCGUAGAUAUUCGGAGGAACACCAGUGGCGAAGGCGGCUCACUGGUCCGGUACUGACGCUGAGGUGC